AAAUAAACCUGAUGGGUUGUUGCUGGCUCUCUAGGGAGCAUGUGCACGCCUUGUCAUCUUUAUAUCUCCACCUGUGCACUUUUUGUAGACCUUUCAGGUCUAUGUUGCUUCAUUAUACCCCAACGUAUGUUAAUAGAAUGUUGUGCCUAUAUAAUAUAUACAACUUUCAGCAACGGAUCUCUUGGCUCUCGCAUCGAUGAAGAACGCAGCGAAAUGCGAUAAGUAAUGUGAAUUGCAGAAUUCAGUGAAUCAUCGAAUCUUUGAACGCACCUUGCGCUCCUUGGUAUUCCGAGGAGCAUGCCUGUUUGAGUGUCAUUAAUAUAUAUCAAUCUUCUCUUUGUUGAGAGGUUUUGAAGGGGGGGGUUGGUUGGCCUCUUUAAAGGGGUCCACUUCCUCUGAAAGGCUUAACCAAAACCCACCCGGUUCUUGGGGGGGAUAACUAUCUACGUUGUUGAAGGGGAGGGGAAGUUCACUUUUCUAACCGCCCUCGAACAAUUCUUCAUUAAGGGGACCUCAAAUCAGGAAGAACUACCCGUUGAACUUAA
Molecule: ribosomal RNA, 545 nt
Filed under: uncultured Cortinarius
Lineage: Eukaryota; Fungi; Basidiomycota; Agaricomycetes; Agaricales; Cortinariaceae
Description: eukaryotic LSU rRNA
Rfam family: 5.8S ribosomal RNA (bases 162-315)
Source: RNAcentral